RNAcentral lists this long non-coding RNA (668 nucleotides) under Nicotiana benthamiana. RNAcentral describes it as "long non-coding RNA (NBEN_LNC039476)". The record is from RNAcentral. Lineage: Eukaryota; Viridiplantae; Streptophyta; Magnoliopsida; Solanales; Solanaceae.
GGGAGUCUUGCAUUAAGACUCCAUGUUAGCUCCAAGUGCACAUGCAAAAAAGAGAACAAAACAAGAAUUAGAAUGAACUAUGUUUCCGAGCAAACAUAGGAUAAAGACAUUAUGAAUCAUACUAUAAACUUAUAAACUUACAACAUAGCAGACAAAAUUCAUCAUGUUAGAAUGUUAUACUAUCAUAUUGAUAACACUGAUUCAAGAACAUCCUCUAACGAAGUAUUCAAGCAGAUAUUUUCUAUUAUUCUCAUUUAGAAUUUAAGAAGGAGCAAUUACAAGUUAAGCAGGGUACCCUAAGGCAUACUUUACUAAGUAAGCAAAUAAAUCUUAUACGAUGAGAAAAUGAGUGAGUAAAUUUUAGAUGCAGUAUGUAUGUAAUUAUAAUAAUGCAAAUAAGCAUCUCUACUUCACUGUGACAAAGAAGACAUCAAGGAUAGUAUAGCUUGCUUAGUUUGGUCUCGCUAUUAACAACAACAACAACCCAAUAUAAUCUCACUUAAUGAAGUCUGAGGAGGGUAGUAUGUACACAGACCUUACCCCUACCCUUGAGUAGAGAGAUCCAAAUAGACCCCCGGCAUCCUUCCCUCCAAGAACUUACCACCUUGCUCUUGAGGAGACUCGAACUCACAACCUCCCGGUUGGAAGUGGGGGUUGCUUACCAUCAG